CAAUAGCGUAUAUUUAAGUUGUUGCAGUUAAAAAGCUCGUAGUUGGAUUUUGGGUCGGGGGCACCGGUCCGCCGUUCCGGUGUGCACUGGUGGCCCCUUCCUUUCUGCCGGGGACGUGCGUCGCACUUAAUUGGGUGGCGUUCGGAGUCGGCGUUGUUACUUUGAAAAAAUUAGAGUGUUCAAAGCAAGCCAUCGCUCUGAAUACAUUAGCAUGGAAUAACAUGAUAGGACUCCGGUCUUAUUUUGUUGGUUUCCGAGACUGGAGUAAUGAUUAAGAGAGACAGUCGGGGGCAUCCGUAUUUCAUUGUCAGAGGUGAAAUUCUUGGAUUUAUGAAAGACGAACUUCUGCGAAAGCAUUUGCCAAGGAUGUUUUCAUUAA
This 379-nucleotide ribosomal RNA is filed under the name uncultured eukaryote. RNAcentral's name for it is "partial 18S ribosomal RNA". It matches the Rfam family "Eukaryotic small subunit ribosomal RNA", at positions 592 to 976 of the family's 1831-position model. The record is from RNAcentral.